GGUUCUAUAGUGUAGUGGUUAGCACUCUGGACUUUGAAUCCAGCGACUCGGGUUCGAAUCCCGAUAGAACCU
Molecule: non-coding RNA, 72 nt
Organism: Perkinsus marinus ATCC 50983
Lineage: Eukaryota; Perkinsozoa; Perkinsida; Perkinsidae
Source: Rfam